GUAUUGACUUGCUGGUAGGAAAUUUUGGCUAGACUGAUACUGAGAGGGCCAGAUGGAAGCGUCAUCCUUCAGCAUCACUUGUUUUGCGUAACACUGGGAUUGGAACUACAUUUGAAUAGCACAUAGUCAUAGAUGUGUACAGAAGCCUUGCCAUGCUUUAAAUAAGUGAAUGCAGGUAUAGAAAAGUCCCCCAGGAUUUCCUUCUUUGUUACAGUGAUCUCAUUUUCUUGUGUACAAGCAGGAGGACAAGUGUGCACUUGGAUGAUGAUGAAAAUGAACUUAACCAUCCAGAAUGAGAUUUUGACUGUAGAAUCAGCAUUCCCAGACACGAGUAUAUUGUCCUUGAGUUCCAUUCCACUUGUGAGAGACUGGUGGCCUGUUAGUGUGUGAAUGCAGUUGCCUGUCUCCACAUCCCAAACUCGGAUGGAAGUAUCAAGAGAUCCACUCACCACAUGGAUACCAUCAAACUACAAGAAAGUCCUGCCAGAUUGUGGUGAGAACAGGCACAAGCAUGAAAUUAAUUUCUUUCGCCUUUCAACGCCUGGAAGUGAUGCUCUGACUCUAUGAAUGAGCAAGACGAUCUUUUGGGUUAGUAAAGUUUAAACUUUUUAAGGCUUUUUUAGGCAAGAACAGAAAUGAGAAGGAAUUAAUAUUAAUGGAACUGAUAAAGAUAAAACCUCAUCCUUCUUUGAAAAAGAAGGAAAGCAACCAACAGGCACUCUGUCAGCAGCUCCAUAGCACAGCCAGGUAAAGGAGCUUUGCCAGCAUUUGUUGUGUGGACCAAGACAUGGUUUAUCAUGGGAGGAAUUAUGAUAUAAUCAGCUAAAAUGUACAGAAAAGACUGCAGUGCCAAUACUUAAACAGUCAUUCUGCAAGAUGAGUACAAGUUUGUGGCACUGACAAAAAAGAAGAAAUUAUUUAGAGCGUGGGAGACUGGAUCACAGCGUAACAAAGAACUAGUUUUGAAAUAAGGCAGAAUGUGACUUUAUAAAGUACGUGACUCAAUUUCUGUUCUUUAAUUAGCACUCUUGUGCUUUUGCUUCUA
Pezoporus occidentalis (night parrot) is the source of this 1045-nucleotide long non-coding RNA. RefSeq lists it as uncharacterized. The transcript is spliced from 6 exons. Lineage: Eukaryota; Metazoa; Chordata; Aves; Psittaciformes; Psittacidae. The record is from RefSeq and is a predicted model, not a curated record.